UGCAUUUAUUGUGUGUCUGCCCAAGU
Molecule: non-coding RNA, 26 nt
Filed under: Rattus norvegicus (Norway rat)
Lineage: Eukaryota; Metazoa; Chordata; Mammalia; Rodentia; Muridae
Source: RNAcentral